UACAGAGGUCCCAAGCGUUGUUCGGAUUCACUGGGCGUAAAGGGUGCGUAGGUGGCGAAGUAAGUCGGAUGUGAAAUCUCCGAGCUCAACUCGGAAAUGGCAUUGGAAACUACUUUGCUCGAGGGUCGGAGGGGGGACUGGAAUUCUCGGUGUAGCAGUGAAAUGCGUAGAUAUCGAGAGGAACACCAGUGGCGAAGGCGAGUCCCUGGACGACUCCUGACACUGAGGCACGAAAGCGUGGGGAGCGAACCGG
Molecule: ribosomal RNA, 253 nt
Filed under: uncultured bacterium
Lineage: Bacteria
Description: partial 16S ribosomal RNA
Rfam family: Bacterial small subunit ribosomal RNA
Source: RNAcentral